Molecule: ribosomal RNA, 376 nt
Filed under: uncultured bacterium
Lineage: Bacteria
Description: bacterial SSU rRNA
Rfam family: Bacterial small subunit ribosomal RNA
Source: RNAcentral
AAUGAACGCUGGCGGCGUGCUUAACACAUGCAAGUCGUGCGCGAAGGUGGCUUCGGCCACCGGAGAGCGGCGGACGGGUGAGUAACACGUGGGUAAUCUGCCUGGGAGCGGGGGAUAACCUGGGGAAACUCGGGCUAAUACCGCAUACGUUUGCGAGAUCAUGGUCUCGUCAAGAAAGCUGGCCUCUGCUUGCAAGCUAGCACUCCCAGAGGAGCCCGCGGCUGAUUAGCUAGUUGGUGAGGUAAUGGCUCACCAAGGCGACGAUCAGUAGCCGGCCUGAGAGGGUGAUCGGCCACACUGGGACUGAGACACGGCCCAGACUCCGUACGGGAGCAGCAGUGGGGAAUAUUGGACAAUGGGCGCAAGCCUGAUCCAG